UUGUCGGCCUCACCGAUAUCACGGCUGUGGAGCAUGAAUGGACACAUGCUCACAUGCCAGAUUGCGCAGAUAAAAGAAUAUGACAUUCAGUUUCAUUGUAAGAUGUUCACAUGCAUUGGCAAGUGGCAAUUGAAAUCGGUGGUUGAUCCUGUUGCAGAGUCUGCUGGAGCCUGCUGCCGCACACACCAUGAAGAACCUACUCCUGGAGGAGGCGACAUAUCCGUGUUGUACACCUAGCCGUACCAGAUAUAUGAACGUGCUACUGCUGUUAAUGGCUAGGGUGAACAGGUCACUGUCUCACCAUGGUACUCUCAUUCCCCAUGAAUUUGUCGCGCUCGGGUUGUACUUUGGGGUGAAACCAUCAAGAGCCCAGCCCACAGAAAAGGUGCAUGCCGAGGAGAGGUAUCACCACUAUGAGGUUAGGGAGCUGUUGGGGGCCUGUAUUGACUGUCGCUGGCUCCGCUCCGCCAUGCCGAUUCCAGUGAUUGGAUUGCCUGCCAAACACUCCAUAUAAUUUCCCAACCAAGGUGAUUGGAUUGCCUGCCAAACACUCCAUAUAAUUUCCCACCAAGGAGCCUAACGCAGGAGAAUUGAGUUGCGGAUAAUGUUGAGACACCAUGCUUUGCAAAUUAAAAGAUGGGAGCUUGCUAUAUGAUCAGAGACAACAAUUAGAUUACGAGAGUAAAAAUUAUCGUAUUUCAUGGAUCUAGGGUAUUCACUUGAGUAUGUAACCAUUUUUUAAAUCUGCUCUACGGACAUGGUUUUUACCAUUUUUUAAAUCUGACAUGGUUUUUAAGGUAACUGGUUCUUUUUGCAAAUAUAUAGCAAUGCAAAUUAGCCU
RNA transcript from Lolium rigidum, 841 nucleotides. RefSeq lists it as uncharacterized. The record is from RefSeq and is a predicted model, not a curated record. The transcript has 4 exons. NCBI's taxonomy places the organism in Eukaryota, Viridiplantae, Streptophyta, Magnoliopsida, Poales, Poaceae.